RNAcentral lists this ribosomal RNA (506 nucleotides) under uncultured bacterium. Its description in RNAcentral is "partial 16S ribosomal RNA". It matches the Rfam family "Bacterial small subunit ribosomal RNA", at positions 28 to 523 of the family's 1533-position model. The record is from RNAcentral.
GAUGAACGCUAGCUACAGGCUUAACACAUGCAAGUCGAGGGGUAACGAGAGGAAAGCUUGCUUUCCUUGUUGACGACCGGCGCACGGGUGAGUAACGCGUAUCCAACCUGCCCCCAACUAGGGAAUAACCUUGCGAAAGUAAGACUAAUACCCUAUAAUUUCCUCAGAUGUCAUCUGACGAGGAAUAAAGAUUUAUCGGUUGUGGAUGGGGAUGCGUCUGAUUAGCUUGUUGGCGGGGUAACGGCCCACCAAGGCAACGAUCAGUAGGGGUUCUGAGAGGAAGGUCCCCCACAUUGGGACGUAGACACGGUCCAAACUCCUACGGGAGGCAGCAGUGAGGAAUAUUGGUCAAUGGGCGGAAGCCUGAACCAGCCAAGUAGCGUGCAGGAUGCCGGCCCUAUGGGUUGUAAACUGCUUUUAUACAGGAAUAAAGUUAGCCACGAGUGGUUAUUUGUAGGUACUGUAUGAAUAAGGACCGGCUAAUUCCGUGCCAGCCGCCGCUGUAA